GCCCUCGUAGUUUAGCUUGGAUAGAAUAAGAGCUUGCGGAGCUUUUGACGGCAGUUCAAAUCCGCCCGAGGGCA
Molecule: transfer RNA, 74 nt
Filed under: Nanobdellota archaeon
Lineage: Archaea; Nanobdellati; Nanobdellota
Description: tRNA-Arg
Rfam family: tRNA
About the family: Transfer RNA (tRNA) molecules are approximately 80 nucleotides in length. Their secondary structure includes four short double-helical elements and three loops (D, anti-codon, and T loops).
Source: RNAcentral